UACGUAGGGUGCGAGCGUUGUUCGGAUUUACUGGGCGUAAAGGGUGCGUAGGUGGCGAGGUAAGUUCGAUGUGAAAUCUCCGAGCUCAACUCGGAAAUGGCAUUGAAUACUAUCCCGCUUGAGGGUCGGAGGGGAGACUGGAAUUCUCGGUGUAGCAGUGAAAUGCGUAGAUAUCUGGAGGAAUACCGGUGGCGAAGGCGGCAUCCUGGACCGGCAUUGACGCUGAGGAGCGAAAGCCAGGGGAGCAAACGGG
Molecule: ribosomal RNA, 253 nt
Filed under: uncultured bacterium
Lineage: Bacteria
Description: partial 16S ribosomal RNA
Rfam family: Bacterial small subunit ribosomal RNA
Source: RNAcentral